AAUUUUGGACAAUGGGCGCAAGCCUGAUCCAGCCAUGCCGCGGGAGUGAAGAAGGACGUCGGGGUGAUAAGCUCUGUCGGACGGAAAGAAAUCGCGCAGGCUAAUACCCUGCGCGGAUGACGGUACCGUCAUAAGAAGCACCGGUUAACUACGUGCCAGCAGCCGCGGUAAUACGUAGGGUGCAAGCGUUAAUCGGAAUUACUGGGCGUAAGGCGUGCGCAUGCGGUUGAUUAAGACAGGCUUGAAAUCCCCAGGCUUAACCUGGGAACUGCGCUUGUGACUGUUCAGCUAGAGUACGGCAGAGGGGGGUGGAAUUCCACGUGUAGCAGUGAAAUGCGUAGAGAUGUGGAGGAACACCGAUGGCGAAGGCAGCCCCCUGGGCCGAUACUGACGCUCAUGCACGAAAGCGUGGGUAGCAAACAGG
This 424-nucleotide ribosomal RNA is filed under the name uncultured bacterium. RNAcentral's name for it is "partial 16S ribosomal RNA". It matches the Rfam family "Bacterial small subunit ribosomal RNA", at positions 360 to 776 of the family's 1533-position model. The record is from RNAcentral.